RNAcentral lists this ribosomal RNA (253 nucleotides) under uncultured bacterium. Its description in RNAcentral is "partial 16S ribosomal RNA". It matches the Rfam family "Bacterial small subunit ribosomal RNA", at positions 524 to 776 of the family's 1533-position model. The record is from RNAcentral.
GACGAACCGAGCGAACGUUAUUCGGAAUCACUGGGCUUAAAGGGCGCGUAGGCGGGCCGCCAAGUCAGGGGUGAAAGCCCCCAGCUCAACUGGGGAAGUGUCUUUGAUACUGGCGGUCUCGAGGGGGAUAGGGGCGUGCGGAACUUCCGGUGGAGCGGUGAAAUGCGUAGAUAUCGGAAGGAACACCGGUGGCGAAAGCGGCGCGCUGGAUCCCUUCUGACGCUGAGGCGCGAAAGCCAGGGGAGCGAACGGG